This 215-nucleotide ribosomal RNA is filed under the name uncultured bacterium. RNAcentral describes it as "partial 16S ribosomal RNA". It matches the Rfam family "Bacterial small subunit ribosomal RNA", at positions 28 to 244 of the family's 1533-position model. The record is from RNAcentral.
GACGAACGCUGGCGGCGUGCUUAACACAUGCAAGUCGAGCGGUAAGGCCCUUUGGGGUACACGAGCGGCGAACGGGUGAGUAACACGUGAGUAAUCUGCCUUUGGCUUGGGAAUAACUUCGGGAAAUCGGGGCUAAUGCCUGAUGUUUACUGUCUGCUGCAUGGGUGGGUGGUGGAAAGUAUUUUUUGGCCAGGGAUGAGCUCGCGGUCUAUCAG